CCUACGGGAGGCAGCAGUGAGGAAUAUUGGUCAAUGGACGAGAGUCUGAACCAGCCAAGUAGCGUGAAGGAUGACUGCCCUAUGGGUUGUAAACUUCUUUUAUCAAGGAAUAAAACGCGGCACGUGUGCCUUUUUGCAUGUACUUUGUGAAUAAGGAUCGGCUAACUCCGUGCCAGGAGCCGCGGUAAUACGGAGGAUCCGGGCUGUAUCCGGAUUUAUUGGGUUUAAAGGGAGCGUAGAUGGGGUGUUAAGGCAGUUGUGAAAGUUUGCGGCUCAACCGUAAAAUUGCAAUUGAUACUGGCAGUCUUGAGUACACUUGAGGUAGGCGGAAUGCGUGGUGUAGCGGUGAAAUGCUUAGAUAUCACGAAGAACCCCGAUUGCGAAGGCAGCUUACUAAAGUGUGACUGACAUUGAUGCUCGAAAGUGUGGGGAUCAAACAGGAUUAGAUACCCGUGUAGUC
This 460-nucleotide ribosomal RNA is filed under the name uncultured bacterium. Its description in RNAcentral is "partial 16S ribosomal RNA". It matches the Rfam family "Bacterial small subunit ribosomal RNA", at positions 338 to 795 of the family's 1533-position model. The record is from RNAcentral.